RNAcentral lists this ribosomal RNA (433 nucleotides) under uncultured bacterium. RNAcentral describes it as "partial 16S ribosomal RNA". It matches the Rfam family "Bacterial small subunit ribosomal RNA", at positions 29 to 507 of the family's 1533-position model. The record is from RNAcentral.
AGCGAACGCUGGCGGCAGGCCUAACACAUGCAAGUCGAACGAACUCUUCGGAGUUAGUGGCGGACGGGUGAGUAACACGUGGGAACGUGCCUUUUGGUUCGGAAUAACUCAGGGAAACUUGUGCUAAUACCGAAUGUGCCCUUCGGGGGAAAGAUUUAUCGCCAUUAGAGCGGCCCGCGUCUGCUUAGCUAGUUGGUGAGGUAACGGCUCACCAAGGCGACGAUCAGUAGCUGGUCUGAGAGGAUGACCAGCCACACUGGGACUGAGACACGGCCCAGACUCCUACGGGAGGCAGCAGUGGGGAGUCUUGCGCAAUGGGCGAAAGCCUGACGCAGCCAUGCCGCGUGAAUGAUGCAGGUCUUAGGAUUGUAAAAUUCUUUCACCGGGGACGAUAAUGACGGUACCCGGAGAAGAAGCCCCGGCUAACUUCGUG